GAUGAACGCUGGCGGCGUGCCUAAUACAUGCAAGUCGAGCGAACAGACGAGGAGCUUGCUCCUCUGACGUAAGCGGCGGACGGGUGAGUAACACGUGGAUAACCUACCUAUAAGACUGGGAUAACUUCGGGAAACCGGAGCUAAUACCGGAUAAUAUAUUGAACCGCAUGGUUCAAUAGUGAAAGACGGUUUUGCUGUCACUUAUAGAUGGAUCCGCGCCGCAUUAGCUAGUUGGUAAGGUAACGGCUUACCAAGGCAACGAUGCGUAGCCGACCUGAGAGGGUGAUCGGCCACACUGGAACUGAGACACGGUCCAGACUCCUACGGGAGGCAGCAGUAGGGAAUCUUCCGCAAUGGGCGAAAGCUUGACGGAGCAACGCCGCGUGAGUGAUGAAGGUCUUCGGAUCGUAAAACUCUGUUAUUAGGGAAGAACAAAUGUGUAAGUAACUAUGCACGUCUUGACGGUACCUAAUCAGAAAGCCACGGCUAACUACGUG
RNAcentral lists this ribosomal RNA (497 nucleotides) under uncultured bacterium. RNAcentral's name for it is "partial 16S ribosomal RNA". It matches the Rfam family "Bacterial small subunit ribosomal RNA", at positions 28 to 507 of the family's 1533-position model. The record is from RNAcentral.